GCCUGGACGGCUCAGUCGGUUAAGCAUCUGACUUCAGCUCAGGUCACGAUCUCGCGGUUUGUGAGUUCGAGACUCGUUUUAGGCU
RNAcentral lists this transfer RNA (85 nucleotides) under Felis catus (domestic cat). It matches the Rfam family "tRNA". From Rfam's summary of the family: Transfer RNA (tRNA) molecules are approximately 80 nucleotides in length. Their secondary structure includes four short double-helical elements and three loops (D, anti-codon, and T loops). Further hydrogen bonds mediate the characteristic L-shaped molecular structure. tRNAs have two regions of fundamental functional importance: the anti-codon, which is responsible for specific mRNA codon recognition, and the 3' end, to which the tRNAs corresponding amino acid is attached (by aminoacyl-tRNA synthetases). tRNAs cope with the degeneracy of the genetic code in two manners: having more than one tRNA (with a specific anti-codon) for a particular amino acid; and 'wobble' base-pairing, i.e. permitting non-standard base-pairing at the 3rd anti-codon position. The record is from Rfam by way of RNAcentral. Lineage: Eukaryota; Metazoa; Chordata; Mammalia; Carnivora; Felidae.